This 467-nucleotide ribosomal RNA is filed under the name uncultured bacterium. Its description in RNAcentral is "partial 16S ribosomal RNA". It matches the Rfam family "Bacterial small subunit ribosomal RNA", at positions 29 to 507 of the family's 1533-position model. The record is from RNAcentral.
ACGAACGCUGGCGGCGUGCUUAACAUAUGCAAGUCGAACGGAAAGGCCCUGCUUUUGUGGGGUGCUCGAGUGGCGAACGGGUGAGUAACACGUGAGUAACCUGCCCUUGACUUUGGGAUAACUUCAGGAAACUGGGGCUAAUACCGGAUAGGAGCUCCUGCUGCAUGGUGGGGGUUGGAAAGUUUCGGCGGUUGGGGAUGGACUCGCGGCUUAUCAGCUUGUUGGUGGGGUAGUGGCUUACCAAGGCUUUGACGGGUAGCCGGCCUGAGAGGGUGACCGGCCACAUUGGGACUGAGAUACGGCCCAGACUCCUACGGGAGGCAGCAGUGGGGAAUAUUGCACAAUGGGCGGAAGCCUGAUGCAGCAACGCCGCGUGCGGGAUGACGGCCUUCGGGUUGUAAACCGCUUUCGCCUGUGACGAAGCGUGAGUGACGGUAAUGGGUAAAGAAGCACCGGCUAACUACGUG